RNAcentral lists this ribosomal RNA (195 nucleotides) under uncultured bacterium. Its description in RNAcentral is "partial 16S ribosomal RNA". It matches the Rfam family "Bacterial small subunit ribosomal RNA", at positions 326 to 529 of the family's 1533-position model. The record is from RNAcentral.
ACGCUCGACACCUACGGGCAGCAGUGGGGAAUAUUGCACAAUGGGGGAAACCCUGAUGCAGCAACGCCGCGUGAAGGAAGAAGGUUUUCGGAUCGUAAACUUCUAUCAAUAGGGAAGAAAGAAAUGACGGUACCUAAAUAAGAAGCCCCGGCUAACUACGUGCCAGCACGCCGAGUAUNGNGGCGGNGNGACGAG